This 321-nucleotide ribosomal RNA is filed under the name uncultured eukaryote. Its description in RNAcentral is "partial 18S ribosomal RNA". It matches the Rfam family "Eukaryotic small subunit ribosomal RNA", at positions 1470 to 1796 of the family's 1831-position model. The record is from RNAcentral.
CCCUUAGAUGUCCGGGGCCGCACGCGCGCUACACUGAAGGAAUCAGCGUGGCUCUGUCCCUGGUCCGAAAGGAUUGGGAAACCCGUUGAAUCUCCUUCGUGAUAGGGAUUGGGGCUUGGAACUGUUCCCCAUGAACGAGGAAUUCCCAGUAAGCGCGAGUCAUAAGCUCGCGUUGAUUACGUCCCUGCCCUUUGUACACACCGCCCGUCGCUACUACCGAUUGGGUGCUCCGGUGAAUUGUUUGGACUGCUGUCAGUCUUUUUGGCUGUCGGCGAGAAGCUCUGUGAACCUUAGCACCUAGAGGAAGGAGAAGUCGUAACA